RNAcentral lists this non-coding RNA (26 nucleotides) under Rattus norvegicus (Norway rat). The record is from RNAcentral. Lineage: Eukaryota; Metazoa; Chordata; Mammalia; Rodentia; Muridae.
UAUUUACAGGGACAUAAGCAUAAUUG